GUGGGCCUUCUUCUCCUUGGCCAGGGGACCUCGCGCGUGGAAAGAGCUCCCAGACCGCGCUUCUGGAACUUCUCCACGCGGGAAUAAGCAGAAACUUUCCUCCUAAGGGAAGGUUUCAUUUAUUUAUUUAUUUUAGACCUUGAACUACAGGAGAAGGGGGAAAUUUUCUCAUUAAAGUUACAUCCCUGCAGUUAGUUCAAUUACUUGAUAUAUGCAGAAGAUGUUGUAAAUUUAUAGAUUUAAAUAGCUUACAAAGAUGCCGCAGGCCCCAUCAGUUAAUUUCCUUAAUUUAUGGAUUUUUGGCUGCUCCUAGAACAGAAAGGGGCCCUGGAAGUAGGUCAAGGAGCUGUACAGCGGUUCUAGCACAGCCCAUGGGCUGCCCACUCUGCUCCCCACGCCCUGGCACCCCCCGGGCUUCUGGCUCCCAGCUCAGGCCUGACAGCACUACUCUCUGCUCUCUAUAUUUUGGCCAAGCCAGGCCUGGGAGGUCUGCUUUCGUCCGUGGUGACUCCGUCUCCCCAGGGCUGCACUGCCAUGCCAAGAAGAGCAAAGCCUCCAUCUCCACCCGCCCCUCCCAGCACUGAGGGAAUGGAGCCAGAAGCAAGGGUCCCAACUACUCUGACCUCCUGUGUCCCCCCUAAAAUGGUAGCUGGGAUCCCAAGUGGAGAAGGCCAUGUCUGGAUGCCUCAGGCUUCUUCGGGAUGAAGUUUCUAAGAUUUGCAAGGUACAUGUCAAGGACGGGUGUAUAAAUGGAUUUUUAUUUAUUCACAACUCCAAGACUAAUUGCUUCUCUUUGCCUCAAGGCCACGAGAUGGGUUUUAAUAUGACACUUCAAAAGUAUUCAUGGAACUACAGAGAUACGAAGUGUCAUUGUUUAAGAGACAAAUCUCGCUGUGGUACUGGUGACCCUGCAAAUAGGAUGUUCCAUUUCAUUUUCAAAUCCUCGAUGUUUUUCUAAGAGUUUCACUCUAUACCAACUGUAUUAAAAAUGCACAAUUUCAUUGAAACAAGACCUGACCAUUCUCAAAGACCUUUUAUUUCCUGAAUAUUGCUGGAAACUUUGUUUUCCUAUUCCUGAAACCUUUUAUUAAAGAGCUGAACUUUAUACAUGUCAUUAAGAAGAGUAAGUUUGGGCCAUAAUUUAUCCUCAAGUGUUUUAAAAGUUCCCGGCUAAAUGUCAACCAUCUUUUACACUGAGGGACUCGGAUAUGAGCUGUGAUAGGCAUGUAAUGAUCGGUGGUAUAUAUUGCAGUGCUGAGGCUUUUUGUUUUUUAAUUGAAAGUGGAUAAUUAGGACUGAAGACAUACUGAAACAUCCUGUGAAAAUACAUCUUGUUUCAUUACUAUAGUCCAAGAGACGAAAUUGGAUGUGGGUCUAAUCAGAAUGGCACUUGCUUUAUCAGUAGAUGUGAAUGGCACUGGAGCUAUUCCAGUCCGCCUAUCUUAUUUUUUAAGUUUUAUUGAGGUUUCAUUGACUUACAAGGUUGUGAUCAUUGCUGCUGUACGACAGAGUGAUUCAGUCAGAGCUGGACACAUCCGUUCUCUUUCGUUCCGCAUAUGUUAAAAAGCAGGUUCAAACCUGAGGUGGCUUGAGGGGUGCUCUGUGUGAACGCACCUGAAGCGAGUGACGGGUCAGGCCCUGCAUCCAGGUGCUGCGGGCAAGCGCUCAGUCUCUGGAUGUUUCAAAGGGAUUUCCAGUGCGACUUGGUACCUUGUUGUUGUGGCUGUUUGCAGACGGUAUUUCAAGAUGAAGACCUUAAUGAGAAAAGUAAAAUGAGCUCAAAAGGAGGGCCCAGAAUCUGCUGAACUCAACCUUCUCAGAAAGUCUGUGACCAGAGAGCAGGUGAGGAGUUCUCGCUGUGGCUCAGUGGAUGAAGAACCCGACUUGUCUUCGUGAGGACGUGGGUUGGAUCCUCAGCCUUGCUCAGUGGGUUAAGGAUCUGAUAUUGCCACAAGCUGUGGCACAGAUCGCAGAUGCGGCUCAGAUCUUUCAUCGCUGUGGCUGUGGUGUAGGCCUGCAGCUGCCGCUCUGAUUCAACCCCUAGCGCCUGUGAACUUCCAUAUGCCGCACGUGUGGUUCUAAAAAUUAAAAUUAAAAAUUAAAAUUAAAAAAAAAAUAGAUAGCAGACACACAGGCUGAGAGACAGCUGCCGGCCUCUGAGAGUGGGGAGUGUGGGGGGAGGGAGGCUGGGGUGUUAAGGCAGGGCCAUCUGCUCCCCGACCCCCCAGGCUCCCUGGGGUGAAAGCCAGACCCAGAGGUCUGAGCCCACCUCUAGACCCAGAGAUGCCCCUGAUCAGGCCAGGAUGGAGCCAGCCUGGCCCAGAGAUCAGUGUCUGACAUCUACUUGCCCUCUACCUCCACACCAGGAAUCCCCCCCAUUCUUCCCGCUAGGACCUCAGUGAACCUGGUGAAAUGGGAGACUGGCAGAGCCGGCCCCUGCAAACGGGCCUCCUCUGGCCUGUCAGUCAGGUGACAUGCUCCCUGGAGAGCAGAGGUCCAAACCUGAGGGAUAGGAGGUGGGGCGGAUCGCCCCUGCCGGUCCUUGAAGAGAAUAAAAUAAGACCAGCCAGCUCUCA
This 2576-nucleotide long non-coding RNA is filed under the name Sus scrofa (pig). RNAcentral describes it as "lncRNA (ENSSSCG00040065936.1)". The record is from RNAcentral. Lineage: Eukaryota; Metazoa; Chordata; Mammalia; Artiodactyla; Suidae.